UUUCGAUUUGAGUUUUGUUCUCUCUUUGUACAUUUUUUACGCUAAGCAAACAACAGAAACCGAAACAGAACAACUACGGAAUCAAGAAGGAAUUGCUAAAGUCAUAACAUCGAAUUCGUAAUGCCCUGACACAUAUUUCAAACAUAAGUUCAAAAUAUUGAGAUAAUUGAUCUUUAUCUAGUUAAGGCGAACUUCAUUCGUGUCAGUUACAACUGACAAAUUUUGGAUAUUCAAGAAAGCUGUAACUGGGCUGCACGUAUACCUCGCAAUCAUUCUGAAAAGUUCCAUUACUGACGCUUGCAAGUUAAUAAGUCCAGCUGCUAAAAAUAUGCUGUCUACAUUCUUUAUGAAAAAGUUCUCUUACCUUCAGCAGCUUGGUAAGAGCAUAAAAGUACAACGAAAAAACGCAAAAAAGGGCAGAACAGUCUGCAUAUAUGUACUAUGUGUGUGUAUCUUUGCGAUACACAAAAAACUGUGCUUCGUGUUUUUAUGUUACUCAAUUUAAUUCAGGUAAAAUAUAUUUUUUUAUCCAGGCCCGCAGCGCUCUUAAACUUUGGUCACGAACAUGAAAAAGCGUCGUUUCCGUCGAAUUGCUCGAAAAUGGUUGACGGUUGAUUGGUUCACUUUUUGGUCAGAGCCUCAGGGAGAGGCCAAGCGUCUAGACGAAUCGAGGCUCGAUUCAAAAUGGCAGCCAAACUAACUUUGAACGCUGAAUACUAAAUGUGAAUAUGCUUUGGAGCAAAUAAGUUUAUUCAGGCAAAAUAUGAAAGGAAAGCCGCAGUUACCAAAAGUAAAAGAAAUAACUUGUUUUCGUGCCCAUUCAAAUAGAGUCGACAACAAGGCUGAGAAAAAAUGUGAACAGCCAAAAUAUCAGGCAAAAACUCAAUGGAAAACUCAAAUGGCCAAAGCGAAACGGCUUAAAUAGCUGGCUAUUUCAUUUGCGGCUUUCAACAUAACCUUCAGCCCGACCGUAAAUAAAAACGUGUAUUAUAAUAGCAUUUAAAUAUGUUUGUGGUUCCAGACAUCAUUGCUUUGGCCAACUGCAUAAGUUCGCUUUUAUAUUGUUCAUUUGUGUUUCAUUUUGAAUAAGCCAACUCAUUCGAACAUUGUCAGCCCCAACGAUUGCAAUUUGUUGUACUUAUCUAGCCAAUUUAAUAUGUUGUGGUUCGUUGUUGCGCAAUGGUAAGAAACCAUUUCUACUUACUUAUGGA
Molecule: long non-coding RNA, 1211 nt
Organism: Drosophila hydei
Lineage: Eukaryota; Metazoa; Arthropoda; Insecta; Diptera; Drosophilidae
Exons: 3
Source: RefSeq, a predicted model, not a curated record